UUGGCGAAUGGAACAUUUUUGUCCAACAUGGGGAAGUACCAUAAACAUUUGUAACUAAGUCAUCAGAUCGAAAAUAGUCUCCACAAAUUAAGACAUAGUUCUGCCACGAGUAUUUGUUUCUCUACUAUCAUCCACAAUUGGUUGGAUUCCAACUGAUUCACCAUGAUUACAUACUACAAUUGUUUCCUUGCUAUCUUGUACACCUGGCUCAAUGCAAAGAAAUUCAUCAGACUGGUAACUAUAAAAAAAAUUCCCUACUAUCCUCCUCCACAACUGGUUGAACAAAGUGCAACUCAACAUUACUCUUGAACAAUUUCAGCCAAUUGAACGUUGAUCCAGAUGAAACUCCACGUAGCAGAAGUGGCUUUGUUGACAAUUCUGGCUUGCUAUACUUAAGUACCGCCAUCCACCUGCCAAUGAAUUUUUUUGGAGUUUUGCUAAGAUGUUUCAACAAGAAAUUAAGUGGUACAAGCUUAAAUAUUAAAAGGAUAGGUACUCAAGAAAAUACUAAAAGCCUUCAUGUAUCAAUUUACAUUGGUAAAUAUCAAGUUUAAAUAUUAAAAGGAUGGGUACUCAAAAAAUAAUAAAAGCCUUCAUGUAUCAACUUACAUUGGUAAAUAUCAAUUGCGCCUUAAAUAAAGACCUUGACCAUUUUUUUUAGAAAAGGCAUAAACGUUGCAGAUUGAUUAGCUCCUUUGAAUUGAUUGGAACAACAAAAGAACGAAGAAACAGAAAGAGAGACAAAGACAAGAGUUGACGAGAAAACGAUUAGAGAAACAGAACAAAUAGACAAGAAGCAUAUUGAUCGAUCACCUCCUCCAAUUGCCUCUUCUGUUGAAGAGAAGCACUAAAAGGUAAUCUACAUUUUUUCACAAAAAUAUAAAAAAUAAAAAGAAACCUUUUUGGGUUCAUAUUAACAAACUAUACUACCUACACAGCCCUCCACCCCACAACAGCCAAGGAAUACUACUGAACAAGUUCUGGAUGAAACUUAUCAUUUCAAAAAAGACUUGACCUGAAUACCCAACAGAAGCAUCUUUUGCACAUGUUUUCACUUAUAAAAUAAAGGGAAAAUGACUUAUAUCUCGAAUAAUGUUGUCAAAUGUGGAUUGACUAACAUGAAAUUGUAAGCUAAAAUAGAGAAGUAAUAUGUGGCUCCCUUCUUUUCCUCCUAUCCAAUAUAUCCACAUACGUUGGUAGUAUUUAAUAGGGAAAUGAUAUUUCCACAACAGUUUUUGAUAUUUCCACACGAAAAGUGUCGCUAUAGAUCCUAUAGCGACGAUUUUUACAUCUACAGCGACACUUUGCGUGUGGAAAUAUCAAAAAUUGUUGUGGAAAUAUCGUUU
This 1346-nucleotide long non-coding RNA is filed under the name Panax ginseng (ginseng). RNAcentral describes it as "long non-coding RNA (PGIN_LNC011368)". The record is from RNAcentral. Lineage: Eukaryota; Viridiplantae; Streptophyta; Magnoliopsida; Apiales; Araliaceae.